RNAcentral lists this long non-coding RNA (1130 nucleotides) under Equus caballus (horse). RNAcentral's name for it is "lncRNA (ENSECAG00000054843.1)". Lineage: Eukaryota; Metazoa; Chordata; Mammalia; Perissodactyla; Equidae. The record is from RNAcentral.
CGCCCCCAGUCCCCCUAUCUCGGAGCCACCCUCCUGGGCCUACAGGCGCCGCGGGGCCAGGGACUGGGCGCGGAUCGAGGCGGGGAGGGACCUGGAAAAACCACCCAGAUUGCAUUGCAGUGGGUGAGGCAGCCCGGAGAGCCGGUUCUCCUGAGCCACCUCCCUGCGGGGCUUUUUCGGUGCGCUGUUCCCAGGUGCUCUAUCCUACCUGGGCCAGGGAGUGCCGCCUCGCAGGGACGCGGGACCCGCUGCGUGGCCCCGAGGAGCGGCCCCGAGCGCGCGCGGCGGCUGCCCGGAGGCCCAAGGCCCGGCGUGCGACUGUUGCUGCGAAUGGUUAGAACAGCUCAGGAAGUCGCGCCCCGCCGUCCUUUUUGGCGCCUGGUGUUCGGAUUAAUCAUUUGUAUAGCGCGUUUGGAUAAACUGAGAACUUUAUGAGCGCGUUUGCCAGGGAUUCUGCAGCGUCAUCCGUGUUAGAAUCGAAUCUCAGAGCUCCCCCUUUUCACAGAGGCUUGCCUUUUCUUUUUUAAGGAAGUCGGAUCCCUGGUGUCUGAUUUUUUUAAAUUUAAAGUUUAAUCUGCCUAACUAGGUUACACGGACAGGAUUUUUUUGUUUUAUUUUGUUUUCUAAUGUAUUCCCAGGGCUUGGAACAGAGCCAGAAAUAUACUAGGCAUUCAACAAAUAUUUGUUGAAUGAUUUUAGUGAGUAACACCCAACCAUUUUUGUAGUUCUUUGUCUCCUGAGCUGGGCAGAGUUCAUCACCGCAAAGGUGAGAUUCUGAAAAUGGGAGUCUGCAGGUUACAACUAAGUGGACAUUCAUUAACCAAUAGAGGAUUCCCUACCCAGCACAACAGGAUGCCUAAAAGAUCUGUGCAGCCAUACAGCUGAAGGAUCCAAUCUGGAAUAUCACAUUGCAUGUAAAACAAGUAUUUUUUUGGCCAAGAUAUUCUAGAGGAUGCAAAAAUAACCCCCCGGUACAUAGUUGUGUAUUCUUCGCUGUGGGUUCCUCCAGUUGUGGCAUGUGGGACGCUGCCUCAGCGUGGUCUGACGAGCAGUGCCAUGUCCGCGCCCAGGAUUCGAACCGACGAAACACUGGGCCGCCUGCAGCGGAGCGCGAGAACCCAACCACUCGG